Molecule: long non-coding RNA, 5471 nt
Organism: Mirounga angustirostris (Northern elephant seal)
Lineage: Eukaryota; Metazoa; Chordata; Mammalia; Carnivora; Phocidae
Exons: 3
Source: RefSeq, a predicted model, not a curated record
CCUGAGCCGAAGGCAGACGCUUAACGACUGAGCCACCCAGGCGCCCCAACAGAGAUUUAAGUUUGUUUGUUUGUUUGUUUGUUUGUCUGUUUUAGUAAUCUAUACACCCGGUGUGGGGCUUGAACUCACUACCUGAAGGUCAAGAGUCACAUGCUCUUCUGACUGAGCCAGCCAGGGACCCUGAAGAGAAUGCUGGGGCAGUCACAUUCUUGGGCCUCAGCCAAGCAUGGAUGGGCCACCCCGAUCAACUAGCAAUGGGUGGGCACAUGCGCUGUUUACAGGGUCUUCAUCACUCACUCGGGAGCCCUGGAAUUCAAAUUUGCCCUUUUCUUCAUUCUCCGAACACUUUUUGAGCAUGAACUGAACUCCAGCAGUGCUGGGCUCGAAGCCCAGGACACUGCUGCUCUCGGCCUCGUGACACCAGCCUGCGCUCGGAUGCCCAUGCUUUCGAGCCUCGGGACGUCCAGUCACGGUGUCUGUUCUGCCAGGAAUGCCAUUGUUCCCUCUCUCAUUCCCACAUCUUGUCGCCUUCACUGUUCAGCUCAAAUGCCAUCGCCCCCAGGAAGGCUCUCCUCCUGUGCCAGCAGACUAGAACACAGAUAAUAUGGGCACCAGAAGGGGCAACUCGCUGCCCACAGUGGCCUCUACCUUCUGCCUGGGUCAAAAUCAAACACGCAGAGCCUUUUUCUCCCCCACCCCGCAGUACACAGAAGUGCGCACUAGGUGGUGAUAAAACGACGAUGGCCCCGCGGGGAUGAGCCAGGAGGGAGGCCACUCAGGCGCCGCCCACCAGUAUCAUUUAUUCAUUCCCUCAACAAAUGUUUUCUGAGCACCUGGCAUGAGCAAGACUGCAGGACAACAGUGGCAAACAAAGCAACAAAGGCCCUGCUCUCAAGAAGCUUAUGCUCUAAUGGCAGGAGGUAAGAGAAAAAACACAGCAAAUACAGAAAGAAAGCAAGAUAACCAUGGGACAGAGGCGAAGGUUGCACAGAAAAUGCUGGGGCUCACUUGCGUUCAGACCCGAGUGAGCAUUUCUUCAGUGAACAGCAGGAUCUGUCAUCAGAGUGUCACUUAGGAUCUCGGAGAGCAGCCGAGCUGGAAGUUUCCCUAGCCUCUUGUUACUCAAAAUGCACUCCAUGGAUCAGCAGCAGCAACAGGUGGACGCUUAUAGGAAAUGCAGAGUCUCAGGUCUCACCCAAGUCUACUGAAUUAGAAUCUGCAUUUUAAGAAGAUCCCCAGGUAAUUUUUGUGCGCACGUGAAAGUGAGAAGCUCUGCUCCAGUCCAGCUCUACUGGGCUCUUUGCAGAAAAAGUUUCCCGAUCCCUGGCCUAGUGCAUUCUCCUCAGAUGAGAAAUUGGGCCUUAGAGAGAAGAGGAUCUUAUCGAGGCCUUAUAGGAGCCCUGCUCACAUUUCCAUAUGCCACUCAAGGCCUUGUUUGCAGAGCCUCUGGUUUGGGCAGUUGGACUACUUUCACCUUUUCUGUGUUUGGAGUGAUAGUCUUGUUGAAAAGUUUCUUGUCUAAGAUUUAUGAUAUAUUCAUGACCUUUCAAUGAGAUUUCCAUGUCAAAAGAAGCCAGUUUGGAGUCUAGAAUGAGACGAGGGUAUCCAAAGGAGAACCAGGUUCCUUUUACUAGAGUGUACAUGACUGAUAUUAGGUUUUUUCCUGAGAAAGUGGGGUCCCUGAGCUCCUGAAGGGAGGAGAGGGUUUCAGGGGGGUCAGCGCAGGAAACAGGAAGGAGUCUUUCCUGCCCCUAGCCCACCCACAAAGUGAGGGGUUCCUGGACCGUGUGGGGUGCUCUGAGGCUUUGAGCUGGGCCGGCAGUUGAGCACCUAUCUCAAGUCACCAAGUACUUCCCUGCCAUCUCCAUUAUGAGUUUGGGGGAGUUGGUGUUGGCAGGCGUGCAGGCACUGAGAGGUGGUGGCAGAGAGCACAGAGGUCCAGGCCUGGGCUGUGGCUGGGGAUGCAGCUCAGAGCGGCUCCCCCUGCUUGGCCCCAUCUAUGAUGGCCAUCAUCCUCAGGCUCGAGAGUAAUCUCAAUACUUAGGUUUAAAUAUCAGCUCAGCCACUUACCAGCUGUGAGACCUUGGACAAGUUUCUUAACCUUUCUGGGCCUCAGUUUCCUCAUCUGCAAAAUGGGAAUACUAAGAGCACCCACCGCAGAGAGUCGCUGUGAAGACAACAUGUGGUGACCUGAAGGACAGCCACAGACACCACUGGCACAUAGUAAGUGUUAGCUCUAAUAACAUGUUGCAAUAAUAUGACCAAUCAUUUUUUACAUGAACAGCUGGGCAGCACAUAACUCUGAGUCAGAGAUCUGACCAGCAUUUAUGGGCACCUGCAUUGUGCCCCCUACUUGCAGGCACUUUUCUAUAUGUUGCCUCUUGCAGCCCUUCACCAUGGCCUAGGAGGCAGCCAUACUCCCUGCCUCCCAGCCUGCAGCUACUCCACGGCAGUUCCACCUUCAGGUGUGUCUGGGAUGCGUGCCCAGGCUGAGUCACUCUAUGCCUGAGUGGGUGGGGAGAGGGGGCUAGGUAACAAGGUCAGCCCUGGGGUGCUGCCGUGGGGCCCCCAACCCAGGGGACCAAGGCUGGAUUCUAGCCAGGGCUGGGAGCAACAGAGGAGCAGAGAGUCAAGCAGGUCCCCAGGACAGCUGGUCGGGGCUCAGGAGGGUUACUAGGUUGGCUCAGGCUCAAGGUCCAAGAUUCCAGAAGUUGGAAUGGGGACAAAUCUUAGAGAUGGGGUAGAAGCCAGAUGGUUAGGAAAGAUCCCAAGGGCCGAGAGCCCUGAGUCCUCUACACCCCCUGACCAAGGGCAGGAGGGGUCCAGAGCCUAGAGCAGGGGAGGGGAUUGUAGGGGGCAAGUGCCAUAGCGGUGGGUGUGAAGCCAGGGAGGCAGGGAGUGCCUGACGUGGACAUGGGCAUGACUUGGGCCCAUUACCUUCCCCUGACCAAAGAGGUGAGGAUCAAAGUCAAUCCCAUUCGGUCAGCAUUUCCUGUGGACUUCCCAGGCUCUGGUCCUGGGCUUAGUGCAUACUGACCACCAUGACAUCCAAUGAUUGGUCCCCCAUUCUGUGGUUUGGAAACCAAGGAUCCAUCAGAAAUGCUUUGCCUGAUGCCAUCUGGCUAGUUUGUGGUUGAGGCAGAUAUUCUGAGCCAACCCUGUUCUCACAAAGCCUCGGAAAUGAAACAGGCCACAAGCACCUAACUCUGCUCCUAAAGGGGCCCUAAGGGGCCCUGAGAUAUGUCCUUACCUAUAUUAGUGUACUACGGCAAAUAACCACAAAACAACAGCCCUUUACUACCUCACAUAUGACCAGUCACGUAAGACUAGCUAGAAAGGGGGCGCCUGGGUGGCUCAGUCGGUUAAGCGGCUGCCUUCGGCUCAGGUCAUGGUCCCAGGGUCCUGGGAUCGAGGCCCGCAUUGGGCUCCCUGCUCAGCGGGGAGUCUGCUUCUCUCUCUUCCUCUGCCCCUUUCCCCUGUUGCCCCUUUCCCUCCCUCCCUCUCUCUCAAACAAAUAAAUAAAAUCUUAAAAAAAGAAAGAAAGAAAGAAAGAAAAAAGACUCCAUGACUGCAUGACCAAUGGAAUUUGGCAGAAGAGAUGUAGUACUAUUUCCAGGCUCAGACCUUAAGAGGCUGAGAGGUUUCCCCUUUCUGUUUUCUUGGAAUGGCCUAGGCUUGGAGCCCAGGCUCCAGGCUGGCAGGAAGUCCAGGCCACAGGCAGAGGUCCUGUGUAGACGUCCAGACCAACAGCCUAGCCAAGGGCCCAGCUGACAGCCAGCACUGAUAAGCAGACAUAGGAGUGACUCCAGCCCAACCAGCCUCUGACUACAUGCAAGAGCCUGAAAAGAAGCUCUAGCUGAGUCCAGCCAAUGUCCAGAACCACAAGAAAUGAUAGUAAAAUGACUGCCAUUGUUUUGAAAUAAUUCGUUACAUAGCAACAGACACCUGAUAACACUAUGUGUGACAAAACGUAGACGUCAUAAAGAAUCAAAAAUGUCUGCAUUAAAAAUAAUUAACAAAAUCACAGGGCUAACACAAACUGGGGGAAAGACCAUAUUUGCAACUACAGACAGAGGGCUUAUUUCCUUAUUGUACAAAUAAUGCCUGCGAAUCACUAAGAAAAGAUGCCCAGCUUAUCUGCACAGGCAAAGCAUACCAAUGGAUAGUUUAUAGAAAAAUAGGUGCUUUCAUACAUUACCCAUAAGAGGAUAUAGAACAACUGUGAAAAACAUUUUAUCAGAAUCUGUCAAAAUUUCUAGUGCAUGUAUUUUCUGACCCAGCAAUUUCGUUUCUGGGAAUUUAUCCUACAGCUGCAUUUACACCUGCACACAAUGACAUCUGCCAAAGGUUCUUCACUGGGGCACCGUCAUAGUAAAAGAUGGGGAAACAAUCUAAAUGUCCCUUAGUAGGGAAUUGUUCAUUGUUUAUGGUUCACUCCUACAGUGCAAUGCUCUGCAUCAAUAAGAAGAAUGAUGUGUACUGAUGUGGAGUGGCCACCAAGAUACACCGUUCAGUAAAGAACCGGUGAUGCAAAGUGUGUGUACAUGCUACCAUUUCUGUGAAAGUGUGUGCAUAUUCUUGUAAAUAUCAAGCCCCUCUGGAAGAUGCCACUGUUUCUGGGGAGAGGAUCUGAGUGGGGGGACCGGGGAGAAGAGAAACAAUUCCAUCUUAUACCCUUGUGUGCCUUUGGGAAUUUGCAUCUUGUGCAUUUAUGAAUUAUUCCCAAAUUAAAUAAAACAUUCCUUUAAAAAUAGUACUUGAAUAACUGGGUAGCCAUCUGAGAACAUUCAGGCGAGCACCUCCUCAAACCAUAUACACACAGUGUUCCAAAGGGAUUCAAUGGAGAUGUGAAAUUAUAUGCAAAGUGAAAUUAGAAAAGCCCUACAAAAACUCCUUUUCAUACUGUCAUUUUGAACUUCUGUGUGCUCUGAGUCUCGAUCUCCCUGCCAGAACUAGGGCCCUGGCUCUCAGUUGUCCAGGUGUCUCUUAGGCUGCCCAUUGCAUGCUGCUGACUCUGGAACUAUGUCCCUAGCCCCCACCUGUCCCUGACCUUCAGACCCCACGUCCCUCCUGGGCUUUUCCACCAGAAACUCAGAACAUCUUGCAAGCAUCCUGAACUCAUUCCUUGCCAAGCUGAACUCAGCCUCCCCAAACCCUGCACCUCCUCCUGGAUAUCCAUCCAAGUGACAAAGUGACAGCCAGUUCCAAGAGUCCUCCUAAGGCAAUACCUUAGAUGUAGCUCCUCACUUGCCCCUUUUACUUCUGUUACUGACCGAAUGUUUGUGUCUCCCCACCCCAUUCAUAUUUUGAAAUCCUCAUGCCCAGUGUGAUGGAAUUAAGAGGUGAGGCCAUGGGGCGCCUGGGUGGCUCAGUCGUUAGGCCUCUGCCUUCAGCUCAGGUCAUGAUCCCAGGGUCCUGGGAUCGAGCCCCACAUCGGGCUCCCUGCUCGGCGGGAAGCCUGCUUGUCCCUC